Molecule: long non-coding RNA, 940 nt
Organism: Panicum virgatum (switchgrass)
Lineage: Eukaryota; Viridiplantae; Streptophyta; Magnoliopsida; Poales; Poaceae
Exons: 3
Source: RefSeq, a predicted model, not a curated record
ACCCCUCAAUUAGGAGUGCUAAACACGAUUUGAAGAUUCAAAUUUGGUCAAAAUUAUCAAGCCACACGUGUAGCUCUCUCCUCCCCGUGCGUGCUCACCGUGGCCAAAUUUGCCACGGCGCCGUUCGCGCACGCCACGACGCCGGUCGCACGAAGCUUCUUCCGUGCUCCACUUCUCCUCUCGCUGCCACAACGCGCCGUGCCGCUCUGCUCUUCUUCGCUCUCGCGCACGCACCGGCCGAGCUUGCCUACGCCGCCUGCCUGCGAGCGCUCGCCAGUCGCCACGCCCGCCAUGGCCAUGGCCGCCCCUCCACGCCGAGCCGCCGCUCGAGCCAGCGCCGACCCCCACCAACCCCCAAAUCCGUUUGCUCUCGUCCCAACGAAGAUCCCAGGCCCGGCCAUCACCUCCACGCCUCGCCGGAACGCCGCCACAGCGGCACAGUACCGCCGCCGGCCGCCGCCCGCCGUGGAACCGCCGCCACGGACCACCUCCUCGCGCUCUAAGACCACCCAGAGGUACGAUAGAUGAACCACGUGAAGGAUGUCACGUUGAAGCCAGGACAGAAGACGGUGAAUGGUGGACACGUCUAGAAGAUGGAUGGAUGGAUCCCGAUGUGCAUGAUCCCAAGGAAGGUACUUGCCAAGCGAGUAUCAUCUAACUAACACUGACUCAGUGUUCAUCCCAGGCAAGCCCCGGUAUAGAAGCUAACCAGGAUUCGCAUCAGUGGGCUCGAUGUGACGUCCUCACGUGUUCAUAGUUAUCAUUUCGUUUUAUUGGUUCUCAAUCAAAUUUCUUCCUCUCAGGUCAUAUUCUCAUCCGCUGCAGUCAUUUAAUUUAUGUAAAUUCUAAAUUUAAAGUGAUUGUGUAAAUAUAUAUGUUAUUAUCUAUUUUUGUGAAAUUAUAUUAUGCUGGUACCGUCUGUGCUCGCUGUCGCGCGAGA